Non-coding RNA from Oryza glaberrima (African rice), 124 nucleotides. The record is from Rfam. NCBI's taxonomy places the organism in Eukaryota, Viridiplantae, Streptophyta, Magnoliopsida, Poales, Poaceae.
GUGUUCGUAGAAAGGAGAGACGGUUGGCAUCUCCCCUGACAGGGACGGGAACAGUCUUAGGACUUUCCUCCAGCACAUUGCGGUUAAGGCUACCCGCUUCGGCGGAUCUUACCCAAAUUUUUUU